AGGGUUUGAUCAUGGCUCAGGAUCAACGCUGGCGGCGCGCCUAACACAUGCAAGUCGCACGAGAAAGUCCCGUUUCAGCGGGGCAAGUAAAGUGGCGGACGGGUGAGUAACACGUGGAUAACCUGCCCUGUGGUGGGGAAUAACCCCGGGAAACUGGGGCUAAUACCGCAUACGUUCCCUGGGAUGCAAAUUCCGGGGAGGAAAGCCUUCGGGUGCCGCAGGAGGGGUCCGCGGCCGAUUAGCUUGUUGGUAGGGUAACGGCCUACCAAGGCGGCGAUCGGUAGCCGGCCUGAGAGGGUGUACGGCCACACUGGCACUGAGACACGGGCCAGACUCCUACGGGAGGCAGCAGUGGGGAAUCUUGGACAAUGGGCGAAAGCCUGAUCCAGCGACGCCGCGUGACUGAUGAAGCCCCUCGGGGUGUAAAGGUCUUUCGGCGGGGACAAUGAUGAUGGUACCCGCAGAAGCAGCUGCGGCUAACUACGUGCCAGCAGCCGCGGUAAUACGUAGGCAGCGAGCGUUGUUCGGAAUUACUGGGCGUAAAGCGAGUGUAGGCUGUUUGCCAAGUCUGCUGUGAAAUCUCCCGGCUCAACUGGGAGGGUGCAGCGGAAACUGGCAGGCUAGAGUGCGGAAGAGGGGAGUGGAAUUCCUGGUGUAGCGGUGAAAUGCGUAGAUAUCAGGAGGAACACCGGCGGUGAAGACGGCUCCCUGGAACGCCACUGACGCUGAGACUCGAAAGCGUGGGGAGCAAACAGGAUUAGAUACCCUGGUAGUCCACGCCCUAAACGAUGCAUACUUGGUGU
Molecule: ribosomal RNA, 803 nt
Filed under: uncultured Acidobacterium sp.
Lineage: Bacteria; Pseudomonadati; Acidobacteriota; Terriglobia; Terriglobales; Acidobacteriaceae
Description: bacterial SSU rRNA
Rfam family: Bacterial small subunit ribosomal RNA
Source: RNAcentral